AAUCAACGCUGGCGGCGCGCUUAACACAUGCAAGUCGCACGAGAAAGGGAGCAAUCCUGAGUAAAGUGGCGUACGGGUGAGUAACACGUGGGAAUCUACCUCUUGGCGGGGAAUAACCCUGGGAAACCGGGGCUAAUACCGCAUAAGCUCGUGAGAGGAAAGCAGCAAUGCACCGAGAGAGGAGCCCGCGGCCGAUUAGCUAGUUGGUGGGGUAAUGGCUCACCAAGGCGAAGAUCGGUAGCCGGCCUGAGAGGGCACACGGCCACACUGGCACUGAAACCAGGGCCAGACCCCCACGGGAGGCAGCAGGGGGGAAUCUGGCACAAGGGGGGAAACCCUGAGGCGGCGACGCCGGGGGGGCGAUGAAGCCCUUGGGGGGGUAAAGCUCUUUCGACAGGAACGAUAAUGACGGUACCGGGAGAAGAAGCUGGGGCUAACUACGU
This 443-nucleotide ribosomal RNA is filed under the name uncultured bacterium. Its description in RNAcentral is "partial 16S ribosomal RNA". It matches the Rfam family "Bacterial small subunit ribosomal RNA", at positions 29 to 506 of the family's 1533-position model. The record is from RNAcentral.